GUCUGGCAGAAUGUUUUACAAACUAAACCCAGCAAGACUACAAUUCUACCAGAAGGUGCCUCAGAUGGUUUUGCUAAUAAUUUUGAUCAGCUGAAAUGGAGAAAAACAUCGUUUCAAUUAUUCACUUUUCAAAACCCGUCAAUUUUAAGUUGGAAUAUUAAAUGCCCCUUUCUUCCUCCUUCCAUCACCAUCAACCAAAUAAAACCAAACCCCAAAAGAACCCUCAGGAAAAGGGAAAGGGGAUGGGGCGGUAGUGACAUUUUCGAAUAUUGUUAAUGUACUGAAAAAUCCUGGUCGAUGUUAAUUUCUUGCCACUGGGAAGUUGAGUCCAGCUUCCGUGUAACUUUGAGGGGAGUAAGUUCCUUCUGAGAACUCGGGGGAGGCUGGCACGGCUCCUGCUGCAAAGAUGUAAGUGCAAACCACCAUAUAUUGGCUUUUGUUUUAAUAGCCUUUUAACCAACUUUGUUAAUGGACUGAAUGCAAUUUAGAUAUGGAACUUGGCUAAAACGUAGCUUCAAUUGGCUAUUAAAAUUUAAGAGCCAACUAAGAUAGCUAAUUACAAAAAAAGCUCCAGUGAUAAUGCUAAGCAGAAUUAGUAAUAGCAAAUGACAGUCUGUCUAGUCUUAUUCCCAUAGGGAAAGAAACUCUUAACUGAGAAGUCAACCAGACAAUGUGCAGCAAACCUAAUUGCAUUACUGGUGUUAUGGCACACAGAUCUGGCAGCUCCCUGGGACAAAACAGGCAGGAAAGUCUGUCAAACUCGAGGCAGAAGGCAACUGACCCGCUUUUCCAUCCCUGUUCUAGCAGGCUCUGGGAAAUUUUAUUUUUAUUCACAGUUGAUGGCUAAGUGUUCUUUCCAGAGGAACCUUCCUGUAAAACCCUGGCACGGACCAAGGCGCAAGGACGAAAGGAAACCGGCUCCAACAAGCAGUUCAAAAGGAAAAAGAUCCUUCACCGACAGCGAAUGAGAUCCUCCUAAUGGAUAUUUAGGUCUGAAAAAGACAAUAAUAAAUACCUGACUGCUAAAUGUUGAGCUUGGGGGUGCGGGUGGGGGAUGUUCUACUUCUCUGCUUCAUUACAGAUAUACCCUCAUUACGGCAUCAGCUGAAGUGCGACCCGCUCUCCUGUGAAGAUUUAUCAUGUGUGCUGGCCACUUUGAAUCCGAGGUGCCGCCGUCUUUAACAUUCCCUCGUCAAGUGUCUCCCUGCUGGGCCUGUAAAUGUCAGUCCAGUUUUUUCACGGCUGUGCGCACAGAUUAGAAACAGCGGGAGAGCCUGGGCGUAGGACUACAAUACCAGUCAGGACACUUGUCUUCGUGGCACUGCUCAAGUGAUUCCUGGAAUGCAGGACCCUGCUGUUUUCUAAUAUUUACACACAACUGGAGUCAUCAAGAGCAGUAAAUGCAGUCUAAAGGCAGCUUGCUUCUUUUGUUAGGGACUUUACAUUCAAACAGGGAUAUCAACACCACCACCAAAAAUAAAAUAAAAUAAAAUAAAAAACCACCAAAAAACCAAAACCCCAAAAAACCCUACCCCACCGUUUUAAAAAGUUUCAUACUCAACCCCUCCCAAUUUUGCUGCUAAAAGACCUUCCAGGUAACACCAGGACUGUUCACUUAGCUGCCCCCUCCCUUUCCCAGCAUCUUCUCUGUGCAUCCCUCGGUUCACUGGGAACGGCAGGGGUUCCGGAUUCUUGACCUCGGAUUGUGUUUCUGCCAGCUGUGGUUUCUCUGACCUCUACAGGCACAGACAGGGCCUUGGAAACCAUUUUCAUAUCGUUUCAGCCACCUUUGCUUUCUGAACUCUUCGCGUGACGUAUCAAAGACCUAGGGCCAGAAGCACCUGAAAUACAGACCACUUCUCUUCCGAAAGCCUAGUUUGGAACGUAAAAAAAAAGAAAAAAGAGGAGAAAAAAAAAAAAAAGCCAGGGGGAACCCACAAAAUCAAAAGGGUGCUAUAUACCUUAUUAAACGUAUACAGUGAUAGCUGUCAUUCAUUUCUCAAUAAAACUGGGAAAAGAAAGAACUUCAGGGGGCUGGCUGCAGGUGUGGGGGGGGGGACUGUUAUACGGGGUCCAGAUCACCCACCUCUGCAACCAGCGUUAAGCAGAUUAGGUCACACAACACAUUUCCAGCUGGACUGACUCAUGGGUUACUGUCAAAUGAGCUAAUGAAAUAAAUGAAGACAAAAGGACAAAGCUCUUUUUUGCAGGGGUGUGGGGGGGAUUAAAAUGCCUAGAACAUAAAAAUCUUAAGGAUCUUACUGGCACAUUUCUCUACCCAGAAAAGUUCAAGAAGUAAACUAAUACUCUCCUGGCCAGGCAAUCGAAUAGAAUCGACAUGUACUUCCACCUGGAACUUUUCCCGGGAUACUUGCCCCCCAAACCCGUCCCAGGGUUCAGGGUUCACAGACCCUUCAGCUGCUUUACUCUGACUGUGAAGUACGUAUUUGGCCCCUGGGAGGAAGCUUUGAGCCAUCUCCCCGCAUCUGAGAAUUAUACCAAGAAGGCACACCACGAACUUCUGUACUAUGACUUUUGUGUUAAGGUCAGAAAAAAUUUUAAACACUGUCAUUUGUUAGUUAUUAAGCAAACUGUAGCCCCAGGUGCUAAAAGGUGUUCAUUUACAUGACUGUGGCCACUUCUCACUUGCUUCUAAAAGAUACAGGAACAAAAAAGACCACCCACAGAAAGAUGGGGACAUUGUGGCUACUGUGCCAGCUCCUCCCCGUGCAAAGGCUCCUUCCUGCCUCUGUCCUCCAGGCACAAAGACCAUCUCCACAGAUAACACAGACGCCCAACAAAUACUGGACUUGACCACGUCAAAGAGAAGAAAGUUUUUCUAAGAUUCUUUGCAGUGGUUCAUAGAUUAAAACUGUAAUGUGCUCAAUAGGGAAAUUUUACAGGUAACUUCAGGACGAGCCAAAGCUACAAAAAUUCAAGACCCCUUCUUGCAAGUUGCAAGAUGCUACUGCUAUAAUAAAACUCACCAACAUAUGAAUGACACAUCCUUAGUACAGUGGAAAGAGUAAGCAUUUCAUUUGUAAAACAACACCCAAUUGAUAGAGUUGCCUAAACCAUCUGGUCAGCAGUAUACUGUACGGAAUCACUAAUAUUGCCUGUGAGGCUGCAUUUAUCUAAAGACCCUUUUCCAAUAUAAUUCUUCAGAGCAUCUUACAUACCUUAUAUCAGUAGAGUCUACUGAAUGAGGGGUAUAUAGAAUAACCUGUGGAACUUACAACUAGGAAAAAGUCUAUAAGCAUGAAACAGGAUUAAAAAAAAUAACAGCCAAAGGACAACAGUUUGAUUUUUGUGGGGAUGGUGAGAUUGUAAAUGAGUAUUUUCUUUCAUUUUGAUUUCUGUUAAUGUGGUUUGGGCAGUAAGUAAGAAUUAAUAAGUAAAAUGGCACUAAUUAAAUCAGUGUGGUGCUGGCAUAAGAACAGACAGACAGAUCAAUGAACCUGAACCGACAGUCAGAAACAGAUCCUGGUAUAAGAGCUUAAUAUGUGAUAAAGCAGGCACCGCAAACCAGGGUGGAAAGGCAAUGGGGAAGAGAAUUCACUUAACAAAUGGUACUGGAGCUACUGAUUAGCUAUUCGAGUAAAAGUCCAUUGCAAUGCUUACCUCAUGACAUACACACACCACUUCGAGUUUAUGUGGAUUAAACAUUCAGAAGCAUGAAAACAAAAAACCUAGAAAAAGCCAUGGUAAAUAUUUCUGAUUUCAGGAUGGGAAAUAUUUUCAAACAAUGGCAGAAAUUACAAUGACAGCGAUCAAGAGAUUAAAGCUGUUAACAAUUAAAUCAACAAAAAAUAAACUGGAAAAAGCCAGGGAACCAACAUGACUAAAGCUGAGAUCAUUACUAUACUAACAGCACACACACACAUAUAUCAAAAAGAAAACAGACUGAUUAGUUUACAAAUAAAAAACUGCUCAGGUUCACCUAGCAAUGUAAAAAAACCUGCCUUAUCAAAUUACAAAAAUGAGAAGUACUCAAGGAUGACAAAAUGUAAGCUGAGCACAGACUCACUGGGCAGAGUUAAGUGCUGGAGUUUUGCAAAGCAAAUUUCACAAUAAGCAUCAAUAACCAUCCAUUCUCAUAGUCUUUGACCCAAUGGUUCCCUUUGGAAAAUCUAAGGAAAUAUGUGUACAUGUGGACAAAGACUUCUGCCCAAUUUUAUUCAAGAAUGUUGUUUAUAAUAUUCCAAUACUGAAAACAAACGUCCAAUAUUAGGGAAAGUCAUCAAAGGAUCACAAAUCCAUAAGAAAAAACAUCAUGGAAACAUAAAAACUCUAUUGACAAAGUAUCUGUAACGACAUGGAAUGUAUUUAACAUUACCUUUAAAAGGCAUAAUAUAGAGAUUUCUAUAAAGUAUGAUAUUUAAAUAUAAAAAUGCAUAGAGAAGGCUGGAAAAAAAUGUGUCAAAAUUAAACGUGCUUGCCCAUGGGUGGUAUUAAUAUGGCUAGUUUGUCUUUUGACCCUUUUCUGUAUAUUCUAAAUUUCCCACAAUAAUCAUGCACGGCAGAAAUUAACACAAUACUGUAAAUCAACUGUACUUCAAUAAAACUUUAAAAUGUGAAAAAAAAUUUUACAGUGAUCAAGUCUUAUUAAUACACUUUGAUAACCAGAAUACAGAGCACUAAAAAUAGAAUUUCAAAGGGUAAACAAGCAUACGCACAUAAAUACGUCUAAUGUAUUUGUAUUUCCACCCACUAAUGUAUUGCUAUGAACUUAGGUCGUGAUGUGCACAUUUUAGUAAUUCAAAGAAAUAACUGAGGUUUUGCUGUUCUGGCCUAUUAGUGUUUGAUCUCUCUUAAAAGAUCACUAUGGAGUUCCCAUCGCGGCUCAGUGGUUAAUGAACCUGACUAGCAUCCACGAGGUUUUGGGUUGGAUCCCUGGCCUCACUCAGCGGGUUAAGGACCCGGCGUUGCCGUGAGCUGUGGUGUAGGCCAGCGGCUACAGCUCCAAUUGGACCCCUAGUCUGGGAACCUCCAUAUGCCAAAGGAGCGGCCCUAAAAAAGGACAAAGGACAAAAGACAAAAAACAAAAAACAAAAGAUUGUGGAAGAACACCUAGAAGCUACUUUACAUCAGGUCUUAGAUGGUUACCAGAGACCUACCAGCUGCUUUCUAGAAAAUACAGAGGACAUGUGCUUCUCUUGGGUGAAGGACAAGAGCCUGGCCCAAGCGUGGCCCACUGAGGACCUAAGAAAACGGCAGAGAAGGCGGGACACCACAGGACUAGGAACACAGGUCAGCAGAGAAGCUGCACAGUGAAGGGAGAGGAAAGAAGGGCGAGAUGCGCUGGAUGCAGGGACCAGAAUGACGACAAGGACAAUACAAGAUAAAGACAGAAAACACAGAACUGAAAACAGCAAGAGAAAACAUAACUCCGAACAACAUGGGGGUUAUUUAAACACUUUUUAAGGGGGGGGGCGUUAAGAAAAAACAGAGCAAGGCAGGGAACAGAAGGACCAGCAGGACAAGGGGAUGCAGCUGAGGAAUCAAACUGGCUACUGCGGCUACUAGUGUUUCAUUUCUGCAGCCCUGCCAAUCGAGUAACAUUCGAGAAAAUGCCAGCACUUGUGAAAAACAAUAUGUGAGGAAAUAUUUGUUUUCUUAAUAUUUAACCAACAGGUUUUGCUAUGUUUUUGUGUUUUGAAAAAUAAAAAAGGCUAAGGCAUAUACACAAAAACACACCACACACAUUUUAUCCUAUUUUAAGCGUCAAUGUGUUUGAAACAGAACUUGGGAGUUGAUUUAGGUGUUACAAAUAAACUUGGGACCAUAACACUGAUGUGUACUGAAAUCCAACAUUCUACAGAAAACAG
RNAcentral lists this long non-coding RNA (5828 nucleotides) under Sus scrofa (pig). RNAcentral describes it as "lncRNA (ENSSSCG00060053940.1)". Lineage: Eukaryota; Metazoa; Chordata; Mammalia; Artiodactyla; Suidae. The record is from RNAcentral.